GAGCGAAUAAAUAUGUAGGUCUUUAAAUAUAUCUGUAAUCUAUUUGUAAAUAACAUAUGUAAAUCUUUGUGAUAUCAACAUAAAUGGUAACUAUAUUAACGUAGAGUCUGUAACAAAAUAUCUAAUGUUGCAUAAUUUUUAAAAGCAGCAAUAACUUUCAAGUUGAAACUGCCCUUUUUAGUAGUUUAGUAAAGAUUUAAGAACAGUUUCGAUUCAUUGUUCCCAAAUAUUACCAACAAUUUAUUCACACUUGCUAAAUAUCUCAUUCACUGCUGUAAUGGUUCAACACUUGUGUAUUUUCUUUAGAAAUUGCUAUUGUCAUCUCAGAAAUAUUGUGGUGGGACAUGAAUGUCAUUUCUAUCCAUUCUUUUUCUUCAGAUCUGUACAUCUAACAAUGAACACGGAUCCUUCCUAUACCCAGCAACUCACAGACCUCGGCCCAGGCCUUCAGCUGUGGACAGUCAUGUGUCAGUGACACGGGGACAGCAGUCAGGUGAUGGAAAGCAGAAGCUGCAGUGAUGAAGACGCUGAUGGACUCUUCAUGCUCCUCCAAGGACCAGCAAGACAGGAGUCUGCACAUCCUCACAAUCACACACACAUACACACAUUUACACUGACGCCAUGAGCACUUUACACACAGAUUGCACUGACUUCUGUGUUUACAAGGAUUUUUUUGUUCAUAGUGGUUUCAGAUUGUGUCAGUCACGAAAGUAAAAAUCUUGUAAAUAACUGUGUUGCAGAAAUGAAAGUCUCUUCACACUGGAGAAAUGAA
This is a long non-coding RNA of Oryzias latipes (Japanese medaka), 772 nucleotides long. RefSeq lists it as uncharacterized. The record is from RefSeq and is a predicted model, not a curated record. Lineage: Eukaryota; Metazoa; Chordata; Actinopteri; Beloniformes; Adrianichthyidae.